This 1369-nucleotide long non-coding RNA is filed under the name Nicotiana benthamiana. Its description in RNAcentral is "long non-coding RNA (NBEN_LNC019621)". Lineage: Eukaryota; Viridiplantae; Streptophyta; Magnoliopsida; Solanales; Solanaceae. The record is from RNAcentral.
ACCCAUUCUUCAUUUAAAUCCAACCCAAAUUAACCCUUACCCAACCCCAAAUCAGGUCGACCCAACUCAAUCCAAUACCCAAAUCCACCCUAACCUAAAAACCUAUACACACAAUCUAUACAGAAGGAAAACAGAGGAGGCUGGAAAAUUGAAGAAGCUGUGCAUCUUUGCUUUUUUCUUCACAAAAACACACACACAAUACACGAUAGAAAAAAAACACACGGAGAGACACCUGGGAAUUGGGGGAAGAGCUGGCGGCUAGCUUCUUCACAAAAAAAAAAAAACACAAUAUAAUACACACAAUCUAUAGGCAGAGAUAGGGGUGUGCAUUCGAAUCGGUUUAUCGAUAAAUCGACUCGAUUAUUUGUUAUCGAAAUCGAAAAAAUCAAAAUCGAAAAAAUCGAAACCUUAUUGAAUCUAUAGUGNNNNNNNNNNNNNNNNNNNNNNNNNNNNNNAAAAAUCAAAAUCGAAAAAAUCGAAACCUUAUUGAAACGAUAACGAUAAGCAUAUGUACAAAUCGAUAAUCGAUAAGUAGUUAUCGAUAAGGGUCAAAAUAGAAUCGAUAAAUCGAAUGCACACCCCUAGGCAGAGAUGCUGGAAGAAGGGCUGGCGGCUGGGCUUCUUCUGAAAAUAUACGUCUAUACACACACCCCUUCUCACGUCUUCAUCUUCCUCCUUCAGUGUUGCUACACAUACGAGAACCCACCCCCUCGGUCAGCCUUCUCCAACAUCAGCGGCUAUGUGACCUUCACAACUCUCAACCAGGAAACGACCCCUGUUGUCCAACGUCUUCAGCAGUCCCUCCCUGUCGCAGUCACGACAGCUCACUUCCCUUCACACGUCGUCGUUUCUGCUUCUUCUCGUUCAUAACAGCUCGCCGGAAAAUGAGCUGAAACGACCUCCAAAAUCAACCUAGACAACCUGCUUCUGCCCCGUUCUAACGCAGUCAGCGUUCUGUCCGUUUUCGAGUUUGCCGGCGAGUUUUGAUACUCCGUCUGAGGGCUGGUUUAUGGUCUUGUCCGUCCCUGUUUAUUCAAGUUAUUAAAAAUCAAGUUCUUUUGGAUGAAGAAAAGUUGAAGUUUAAAGAGGUCAGGUUCUAACUUUAAAAGUUGAAUUGUUUUGUUUGAUUCGUUUCCGUCUGCUGCUUGUUUGCGAUUCCUGCUCAGUUUUGCUAUAAAUGUAUAGAUGUGGAACUAUAUAACUGAGUUGCUCAAGAUAUGUAUCCAUUUAGGUAGGAUUUUUAUGCUCGUCGAUUGACUUUUUCACAAAUUGAGUUUAGGAGAAUGUCCAUUUUAAAGUUUUAUUUUUCUAGUUAUAAAUUAAUAUUUAUAUCGUAUCAUUUUAACUAGUGUCAGCCUACUGUCUAAUG